GUUUGAGAGUGCUUUGAAGAUUCUUCGCCUCCUGAUGGAUCAAAGUACGAGCGCUCCCUGUGGAUUCGAUUAUAUGUAGGAAGUGACUGUCUGGUGUAUCUGCACCAGAUCCUGGGGAAAUGAAGUCAGAUGCAGAGGCAGGGUCGUCCAGUGAUGCAACACUGCCGUUCUAUGUGCAACGUCACCGCUAAUUCCCCCGGCGAAAACACAAACACGUGAAGAGACUACAGUAUUGACCGUUCUGGCAAUGAAUCGUGACUGCUCGGACAGUCGAUAAUCGAAACACAGAGCACCAGCAUGAUGUUUUCAUAUUGGGAACCACACACCAGCUCAAUUCUCAAGCCCAAAAAUUGAUGAAUACAAAACA
Molecule: long non-coding RNA, 367 nt
Organism: Sycon ciliatum
Lineage: Eukaryota; Metazoa; Porifera; Calcarea; Leucosolenida; Sycettidae
Exons: 2
Source: RefSeq, a predicted model, not a curated record